Oryzias melastigma (Indian medaka) is the source of this 1055-nucleotide long non-coding RNA. RefSeq lists it as uncharacterized. NCBI's taxonomy places the organism in Eukaryota, Metazoa, Chordata, Actinopteri, Beloniformes, Adrianichthyidae. The transcript is spliced from 2 exons. The record is from RefSeq and is a predicted model, not a curated record.
AAAAAAGCACUUUAACGUGCCGACAGUUGUUGUCAAUUGUCAAAUCAAUGACAAGUAACGAUAAAAAGGUCAUCUCAGAUCUGACACUGAUUCUUUGGCUUCACGCUCCCGAGGCUAUGAAGGAAGUUCCGAACACGGAGAAGAACCCCGCAGGAAGAGCAGCCCUUCGCCCGAAAAAAUGAGGCAUAAGUGGUGCCUUUCCCCGUUCCUGCCAGCAGCCGCCUGGUCUUGCUGACAGGCGAGGUGCAAGUCAUUUCAAACAUCCCUGAUGAUCGAUCUGAGAGCCAGAUGUAAUCAUCAAAAGAGCCACAUAUGGCUCGCGAGCCAUAGGUUCCCGGCCCCUGCUUUAGGGGCUCCGUACCUCUGAGCAGAGACACGGGGUAAUAAAUUUAGUAUUAAGUAUUUAAAAUCCUAAAAUUACUAAGUUUGUUUAAAGUUUUUUUUUUUUUUUACAAAAACAACAUAAAUUAUAAAAUAAACUUACUUUAUGUCUUUCUUGGCAAUCUGCGCAGUUAGGUGACUGCUACUCAGAGGAAACACCGGCGCAUGCACCUUACAUUGCCUUGUGGAGAGGGCGUGCCGUGGACUGUCCUGCCCCCCUUUCAUCCAACAGAGCACAAAAAAACCUUAGUCGAAAAACCAUAGACUGUAUAUAAGAAUUUACAGUCUAUGCGAAAAACCCAGACUCCAAACAAUCCAGUUGGUCGCACCUUCACGUUGGUACCACCCGCCAUUUAAACCUCAAGAAGAAUCCAGUCGGUCGUCGAACAGAAGACGUUCCAAGUUUUCAGCCGUAGUUCCACUUGAACGGCCCACACGGCAGCGGCUCAGUCGAGGCGCACCAACACCAAAGAACGAACCUCUUUUUACCAAACGCCAUCUUCCUUUUUUUUCACUAAAUAACCUUCCUUUAAAAACAUUAACCGUAUCUAUGUAAGUUCCACCGAAUUACUCGCUCCAGAAUCGAUUAUUUUACAGAAUUCAGUCCUUGCAAACCGGAUAGAACCAGUUCCUUUCCGCAGCAGAGUCUCCAACUUUGCGGAAGUAGAAGAGUU